AACGAACGCUGGCGGCAUGCCUAACACAUGCAAGUCGAACGAGACCUUCGGGUCUAGUGGCGCACGGGUGCGUAACGCGUUGGAACCUGCCUUUAGGUUCGGCAUAACUCAGAGAAAUUUGAGCUAAUACCGGAUGAUGUCUUCGGACCAAAGAUUUAUCGCCUUUAGAUGGGCCGGCGUUGGAUUGCCUAGUUGGUGGGGUAAAGGCGUACCAAGGCGUCGAUCGAUAGCUGGUCGGAGAGGAUGAGCAGCCACACUGGAGGGGGGACACGGCCCAGAAUCCUGCGGGAGGCGGGAGAGGGGAAUAUAGGACUGUGGGCGGAAGCAUGAUCCAGCUAUGCCGCGUGAGUGAUGAAGGCCUUAGGGUAGUAAAGCACUUUUAUCCGAGAUGAUAAUGACAGUAUCGGGAGAAUAAGCUCCGGCUAACUCCGUG
This 433-nucleotide ribosomal RNA is filed under the name uncultured bacterium. RNAcentral's name for it is "partial 16S ribosomal RNA". It matches the Rfam family "Bacterial small subunit ribosomal RNA", at positions 29 to 507 of the family's 1533-position model. The record is from RNAcentral.